This 318-nucleotide unclassified non-coding RNA is filed under the name Hevea brasiliensis (rubber tree). Lineage: Eukaryota; Viridiplantae; Streptophyta; Magnoliopsida; Malpighiales; Euphorbiaceae. The record is from RNAcentral.
GUGGAAAAUGUUCCUAUGGACUGCAUUAACAUUAACUCUUAUCAAUUAAAAGGGAAAAGCCAAAGAAAAGAGAAAUAGCCAAAAUGGCAGGCAUAAAAGAAAAUCAUGAAGAAAAAAAAUUAGGUUAAUUAUAGAAUAUUUCAGAUUUACUAAAAAAUAGUAAAUCUUCCAUUCUUAAAAUUUUUAUUACUCUGUAAAUUAUGGAUUCUAAGUCCGGAGGGUGUGCUUCAAGUGCAUGAAAUAAUUUUUUGUAUGGUGCAUUCAGUAUAUAUGUAUGUUAUUUUACAACCAUAUGGAUCCAUUAUCUACAUAGCAAAG